This 515-nucleotide ribosomal RNA is filed under the name uncultured bacterium. RNAcentral describes it as "partial 16S ribosomal RNA". It matches the Rfam family "Bacterial small subunit ribosomal RNA", at positions 28 to 523 of the family's 1533-position model. The record is from RNAcentral.
GAUGAACGCUGGCGGCGUGCCUAAUACAUGCAAGUCGAGCGAAUGGAUUAAGAGCUUGCUCUUAUGAAGUUAGCGGCGGACGGGUGAGUAACACGUGGGUAACCUGCCCAUAAGACUGGGAUAACUCCGGGAAACCGGGGCUAAUACCGGAUAAUAUUUUGAACUGCAUGGUUCGAAAUUGAAAGGCGGCUUCGGCUGUCACUUAUGGAUGGACCCGCGUCGCAUUAGCUAGUUGGUGAGGUAACGGCUCACCAAGGCAACGAUGCGUAGCCGACCUGAGAGGGUGAUCGGCCACACUGGGACUGAGACACGGCCCAGACUCCUACGGGAAGUAGCAGUAGGGAAUCUUCCGCAAUGGACGAAAGUCUGACGGAGCAACGCCGCGUGAGUGAUGAAGGCUUUCGGGUCGUAAAACUCUGUUGUUAGGGAAGAACAAGUGCUAGUUGAAUAAGCUGGCACCUUGACGGUACCUAACCAGAAAGCCACGGCUAACUACGUGCCAGCCGCCGCAGUAA